GAUGAACGCUGGCGGCGUGCCUAAUACAUGCAAGUCGAGCGAACAGACGAGGAGCUUGCUCCUCUGACGUUAGCGGCGGACGGGUGAGUAACACGUGGAUAACCUACCUAUAAGACUGGGAUAACUUCGGGAAACCGGAGCUAAUACCGGAUAAUAUAUUGAACCGCAUGGUUCAAUAGUGAAAGACGGUUUUGCUGUCACUUAUAGAUGGAUCCGCGCCGCAUUAGCUAGUUGGUAAGGUAACGGCUUACCAAGGCAACGAUGCGUAGCCGACCUGAGAGGAUGAUCGGCCACACUGGAACUGAGACACGGUCCAGACUCCUACGGGAGGCAGCAGUAGGGAUUCUUCCGCAAGGAGCGAAAGCUUGACGGAGCAACGCCGCGUGAGUGAUGAGGGUCUUCGGAUCGUAAAACUCUGUUAUUAGGGAAGAACAAAUGUGUAAGUAACUAUGCGCGUCUUGACGGUACCUAAUCAGAAAGCCACGGCUAACUACGUG
This 497-nucleotide ribosomal RNA is filed under the name uncultured bacterium. Its description in RNAcentral is "partial 16S ribosomal RNA". It matches the Rfam family "Bacterial small subunit ribosomal RNA", at positions 28 to 507 of the family's 1533-position model. The record is from RNAcentral.